GAACGAACGCUGGCGGCAGGCCUAACACAUGCAAGUCGAGCGAACCCUUCGGGGUUAGCGGCGGACGGGUUAGUAACGCGUGGGAAUAUACCCUUUGGUACGGAAUAGCCUCGGGAAACUGAGAGUAAUACCGUAUGUGCCCUUCGGGGGAAAGAUUUAUCGCCAAAGGAUUAGCCCGCGUUGGAUUAGAUAGUUGGUGGGGUAAUGGCCUACCAAGUCUACGAUCCAUAGCUGGUUUGAGAGGAUGAUCAGCAACACUGGGACUGAGACACGGCCCAGACUCCUACGGGAGGCAGCAGUGGGGAAUCUUAGACAAUGGGCGCAAGCCUGAUCUAGCCAUGCCGCGUGGACGAUGAAGGCCUUAGGGUUGUAAAGUCCUUUCAGAUGGGAAGAUAAUGACGGUACCAUCAGAAGAAGCCCCGGCUAACUCCGUG
RNAcentral lists this ribosomal RNA (434 nucleotides) under uncultured bacterium. RNAcentral describes it as "bacterial SSU rRNA". It matches the Rfam family "Bacterial small subunit ribosomal RNA", at positions 27 to 507 of the family's 1533-position model. The record is from RNAcentral.